UACGUAGGGUGCAAGCGUUAAUCGGAAUUACUGGGCGUAAAGCGUGCGCAGGCGGUUUGUUAAGUCCGUUGUGAAAGCCCCGAGCUCAACUUGGGAAUUGCAGUGGAUACUGGCAGGCUGGAGUACGGUAGAGGAAGGUGGAAUUCCCGGUGUAGCAGUGAAAUGCGUAGAUAUCGGGAGGAACACCAGUGGCGAAGGCGGCCUUCUGGACCAGUACUGACGCUUAUGCACGAAAGCGUGGGGAGCAAACAGG
Molecule: ribosomal RNA, 253 nt
Filed under: uncultured bacterium
Lineage: Bacteria
Description: partial 16S ribosomal RNA
Rfam family: Bacterial small subunit ribosomal RNA
Source: RNAcentral